This 460-nucleotide ribosomal RNA is filed under the name uncultured bacterium. Its description in RNAcentral is "partial 16S ribosomal RNA". It matches the Rfam family "Bacterial small subunit ribosomal RNA", at positions 338 to 795 of the family's 1533-position model. The record is from RNAcentral.
CCUACGGGUGGCAGCAGUGAGGAAUAUUGGUCAAUGGACGAGACUCUGAACCAGCGAAGUCGCGUGAAGGAUGACUGCCCUAUGGGUUGUAAACUUCUUUUAUCUGGGAAUAAAACGUUCCACGUGUGGGAUUUUGUAUGUACCAUAUGCUUCAGGAUCGGCUAACUACGUGCCAGCAGCCGCGGUAAUACGGAGGUUCCGAGCGUUAUCCGGAUUUAUUGGGUUUAAAGGGAGCGUAGGUGGAUUGUUCAGUCAGUUGUUAAAGUUUGCGGCGCAACCGUAAAAUUGCAGUUGAAACUGGCAGUCUUGAGUACAGGAGAGGUAGGCGGAAUUCGUGGUGUAGCGGUGAAAUGCUUAGAUAUCACGAAGAACUCCGAUUGCGAAGGCAGUUCACUGGACUGCAACUGACACUGAGGCUCGAAAGUGUGGGGAUCAAACAGGAUUAGAUACCCCAGUAGUC